CCUUUCCUCCCCAAUUUGCUC
RNAcentral lists this unclassified non-coding RNA (21 nucleotides) under Mus musculus (house mouse). Its description in RNAcentral is "oocyte_clustered_small_RNA7006". The record is from RNAcentral. Lineage: Eukaryota; Metazoa; Chordata; Mammalia; Rodentia; Muridae.